CUCAAAACUUUUUUUAAAAAAAUCCUUCUUAGGGGUUGGAGUUGUGGCUAGUCUCUCCUAAGAAAAAAUCAGCAUGGGUUCUACUUCAGAAUUGGGCAAACUGCAGGCCAUGUGUUCACUGCUCUAAAUUUAUGGUUUCCUUGUCUGUUUAAAACUUCUUGCACCAUCAUUGUAGGUUACUUGCAAAGGGCAUGUGGUUAAAAAGGUUCGCUACAGGAUUGGGUUACUUUCUGGGCUGUAAUGCACAUUGUCCUAAGCCUUUGUGCAAGGUGUGCCAUGUAUAGUUAAUCACAGAAGAACUAUCCCUGAAGAAAGGUCCUGGAGAGAGGGGGAAUCUUAAGCAGUGGGAUUCUUGGCAUAGCAGAUGUAAAGAGUUUCAGAAUGUGCCAGUCAGGCUGACAGGUCUAUUUAGGAAAACAUUCAGGGUAGAAUGUGGGCCACUUCCAGAGAGGCAGAGAUGACACCUGAUUGUGUAGAGUGCUGGAGACUGGACUGGAAGUGGAGCCAGGGCACUGGGCAUUGCCCUAAUGUAAUGUUUGCAGAUGGGCAUGUGGCUCGGGAGUUGGAAUUGCUCCUGGGUGUUUUGUGCAUUUUAAUGGUUCACGAGUACAAGUUUUGUUUUUAAAACCAACCACCUUUUAGAAAGUUGUUAAGUACCUGUAGGUUUGCAUCCCUUUUUGCAAAAGGGGGCAUAUGAUUUGAUUGCAGAAGGGAAAUAUCUAUGUGUAGGCAAAG
RNAcentral lists this long non-coding RNA (735 nucleotides) under Marmota monax (woodchuck). Lineage: Eukaryota; Metazoa; Chordata; Mammalia; Rodentia; Sciuridae. The record is from RNAcentral.